AUGAAUUGGGACAUUUUUAUUAAGGUUCUAAGAGCUGUGAUCCUAGAAAACGAGGAGAUGUUUCUGAGGAAGGAUGAAGAAAAUAUAAUGAAAGAUGAGGGAAGCAAGAAGGAACAGAAUGUAAGACAAAGAAUUGCCUCUUCAGCCCUUUGCAAUGCACUGCAUCGAGGAUUUCAACAAGGACUCUGGAGUUCGGAGGUGAAUUUCCCCUGAGUUGCUCCUGGCUACAUCUUGACCUAGAAAGCUGGAUAAAAUCUCUCAUCUGAAGUGGUCUGUGAAAGUGACCACUGUUCCCCUCCCAGAGCAGCACUCAUCACCCGUCCCUAAGGCCAACACCCAUGGCGGGCAGGGCAGUGGCACGGGAAACAGCUGGAGCUUCCAAAAAGCUGCCAGUCCCUGUGUCUGGAAAAGGAGAAGUGGGGGUAGGUAGAAUUUCAUAAUCACAGAGAGCAAGGAAGAGAAAGAAACCAUUGUCUGCCUGAAGCCAGGUUUCCUGAUCUGAUUCCCAGAAAUCUCACUCUUCUCCAAAUAUCCAAGGCCAGGGGUUUGCUCCAAACCCAUCCUGAGGAGCACCUUUAAAAAAAAUCACAGUCAUCAGUUCAAAAGAAUUUGUAGCUAAAAAUGUUCUUCAUUUAAAAAAAAAAAAUUGUCUCCACAUAGGUGAGUACCUACCAUUCGCUUAGCAUUUAAAAGUUUUAAGUUACACCAGUCCUGGAGAAGCUUUUAACUGGUCUCUACUUGUUUUACUGAAAUUAGAAUAUGCAGCCACAAAGUAAAUUUGGUUAUGGUUAUAUUACCUAUAAGAUAGCUUAAUUUAGAGGGAAAUCACCAUGCUUUUUUAGCCAACUUUGUUUUUCAUGUAAAAUUAAAACAGCCAAAGAGACAAAACCAUUUUAUUUAAAAAAGAUUUACAAUUUUAAAUAAAAUGUAAUUGCUAAGACUAAGUUCCAGUCCCUGUGCUCUUUAAUAGUUCGUAACACCUUGUUUUCUCGCGUAGGACCUGCCUGGUUCCUGACCUGGGCGCUAGCCUGCCUCAUUAGCUCUGUCAUUAGAUCAAGAGCUCUGUGAGCUCAGGCCCCUGUC
RNAcentral lists this long non-coding RNA (1083 nucleotides) under Capra hircus (goat). RNAcentral describes it as "lncRNA (ENSCHIG00010028725.1)". The record is from RNAcentral. Lineage: Eukaryota; Metazoa; Chordata; Mammalia; Artiodactyla; Bovidae.